CAUGGCUCAGAACGAACGCUGGCGGCAGGCUUAACACAUGCAAGUCGAGCGCCCCGCAAGGGGAGCGGCAGACGGGUGAGUAACGCGUGGGAAUCUACCCAUCUCUACGGAACAACUCCGGGAAACUGGAGCUAAUACCGUAUACGUCCUUCGGGAGAAAGAUUUAUCGGAGAUGGAUGAGCCCGCGUUGGAUUAGCUAGUUGGUGGGGUAAUGGCCUACCAAGGCGACGAUCCAUAGCUGGUCUGAGAGGAUGAUCAGCCACACUGGGACUGAGACACGGCCCAGACUCCUACGGGAGGCAGCAGUGGGGAAUAUUGGACAAUGGGCGAAAGCCUGAUCCAGCCAUGCCGCGUGAGUGAUGAAGGCCCUAGGGUUGUAAAGCUCUUUCAACGGUGAAGAUAAUGACGGUAACCGUGAAG
Molecule: ribosomal RNA, 420 nt
Filed under: Mesorhizobium amorphae
Lineage: Bacteria; Pseudomonadati; Pseudomonadota; Alphaproteobacteria; Hyphomicrobiales; Phyllobacteriaceae
Description: bacterial SSU rRNA
Rfam family: Bacterial small subunit ribosomal RNA
Source: RNAcentral